CCUACGGGGGGCAGCAGUGGGGAAUAUUGGGCAAUGGGCGCAAGCCUGACCCAGCAACGCCGCGUGAAGGAAGAAGGCUUUCGAGUUGUAAACUUCUUUUCUCAGGGACGAAGCAAGUGACGGUACCUGAGGAAUAAGCCACGGCUAACUACGUGCCAGCAGCCGCGGUAAUACGUAGGUGGCAAGCGUUAUCCGGAUUUACUGGGUGUAAAGGGCGUGUAGGCGGGACUGCAAGUCAGAUGUGAAAACCACGGGCUCAACCCGUGAACUGCAUUUGAAACUGUUUCCCUUGAGUGUCGGAGAGG
This 305-nucleotide ribosomal RNA is filed under the name uncultured bacterium. Its description in RNAcentral is "bacterial SSU rRNA". It matches the Rfam family "Bacterial small subunit ribosomal RNA", at positions 338 to 657 of the family's 1533-position model. The record is from RNAcentral.